AAAUUGAAGAGUUUGAUCAUGGCUCAGAUUGAACGCUGGCGGCAGGCCUAACACAUGCAAGUCGAACGGUAACAGGAAUCAGCUUGCUGAUUCGCUGACGAGUGGCGGACGGGUGAGUAAUGUCUGGGAAACUGCCUGAUGGAGGGGGAUAACUACUGGAAACGGUAGCUAAUACCGCAUAAUGUCGCAAGACCAAAGAGGGGGACCUUCGGGCCUCUUGCCAUCGGAUGUGCCCAGAUGGGAUUAGCUAGUAGGUGGGGUAACGGCUCACCUAGGCGACGAUCCCUAGCUGGUCUGAGAGGAUGACCAGCCACACUGGAACUGAGACACGGUCCAGACUCCUACGGGAGGCAGCAGUGGGGAAUAUUGCACAAUGGGCGCAAGCCUGAUGCAGCCAUGCCGCGUGUAUGAA
RNAcentral lists this ribosomal RNA (412 nucleotides) under Escherichia coli. Its description in RNAcentral is "bacterial SSU rRNA". It matches the Rfam family "Bacterial small subunit ribosomal RNA", at positions 1 to 409 of the family's 1533-position model. The record is from RNAcentral. Lineage: Bacteria; Pseudomonadati; Pseudomonadota; Gammaproteobacteria; Enterobacterales; Enterobacteriaceae.